RNAcentral lists this long non-coding RNA (1875 nucleotides) under Cricetulus griseus (Chinese hamster). RNAcentral's name for it is "lncRNA (ENSCGRG00015035583.1)". Lineage: Eukaryota; Metazoa; Chordata; Mammalia; Rodentia; Cricetidae. The record is from RNAcentral.
CAGGAAGUGAAGUGGCUGGGAGAGAGAGGAUAUAAGCAGGAAGAAACAGGAGCUUGAACUCUUUUCCACUGAGACACUAAUGAGGGGCCCACUCAAGAUGGUCAUGAGCAGCCCCAGGCAUGACUUUGGGAACUCCAGUGGAAAGAAGGCAUUCCUUUUUGGCUAGAUCCAGAAAAAGUCCUGCCUAAGACUGACAUUGGCUCUGUUUGGUCACUGAGUCAAAUUCUGACAAACCACAUUGAUUCUUAACAGCUUCUGGACUCUGCCCAGUGAGCCUAUGUCACCUUUCAAGUCUCCCUUCAAAUACUUCCUCUGAAGGCAUCUCAGGCUCCAUUUGAGAGACUCACUCCUGGGGUCCUCCGGCUAGGCGCUCUGCACUGCCGGCAGAUGACCAUGAAGAACAAUAUUAUGCCUGUGUGUGCCUCUCCUGCCAUGAUAGUCACACCAUGGUUGCCAGUCCUGCUUUAAUGACAUUCUCACUUGAUGUUCAAAGUAGCUUCUCCAUUGCAGCACCUGGUGAACACGAGCCUGGACCCUAUAGAACCCUAAGGCUUCACGAGUCUGAGCCUGCAGUUGGACCAGCAUGGCCACUGUUCUGGACCUAUUCCCGUGGCUUGAAUGUGCACACAGUUCAGCUGGCCCAGUUCUACCAGAGGCAAAGGGGUUCCUUGCAGAUGUGAUGCCAGGAGGACAGUCAUGCCUGUGCUUCCAGGAACCCCCAUUCUAUUCUAUGCCAGAGACACACAGAUGGUGGCUGGAUUCCAGCCACAGAUGCAGCUCCCUCAAGAACAGUGAAGCCUACAACAGGAGUGUGCCCCCUCUGGGUCUCAGGCCUGAGGGGACAGUAGCAUCUGUGUGACCGAAGACUCACCCUCUGUGAGUGGAACAGUUAAGGCUGUCUGUGGCCUAGCAUCUGCUGGUCCCAUUCACUAUGGCAAGGCUGUGGACAUUCAGUCUUAGACCUUCUCACCCCAGUGCCUGAACUCAACAGGAAAACGUCAGCUGCAAAGUCCUGGACUCUGCCUGCCAUCACCAUCACUCUACAGACAUCUUCAGCACAUCUCUGUGAGAUUACUUCCUUUAUACUAGGGUUUUGUGUAGCUAUUUCCUCCUGGUGGCAACACUCCUUCCUGGAGAUGCUAAGCUCACAAUGAAGUUACAAGACUCAUGAGGCCCCAGACCCCAUGAGGCUCCCUCCUUGAGGUUAUAUAAGCUUAAACAAUUACUGUAGAGUUACUAGCAUGUUAUUCAGGGAGUUUCAGGGAUGCACCUUUCAUGAGAUUGUCACCCAUGCUGGAGGGGAGGAGGGAUUUUCAGCAGUACAGCAGCCUGAGUCACCUAUGUUCCUGUAAGUGACCCAAAUAAACUCAUUGGUUCACUAAGUUAAACUGGGGUGAAAUAGUUUUUUUAGCCCAUUGUCGGCACCCUAUCUGACGUCCAUGGACAUCUGCUCACAUCUCCAGCAGGACAAUACUGAGGAUUUAUAUGUAAUGUAUUAUUUUGCUCUCGGGCUAACUCCAUUGAGUAUGGUACAAUGAAUAUUCCCACAUUUUCCUAAACUGGAAACUGAGACACCAAGGUUAAAGAGCUCCUGAAGAAGCACAGAGAAAGGGAAGUGGAGAUUUCCCAUUUGUCAGGCAAAGUGGGAAGGUCUGCAGUGAAUCCAUAUCAGGUUAGAGAAAAGGGGUGUCGACAGAGAUUCAAGCUCCUGGUGAGAGAUGAAGGCAAUGUGGGGGGUGGGGGGACACACAUCAGGGCAAGUAUCGUUUGCAUGAGUCCUAACCCACUAAAAACUGUGAAGUGAAAAUAGUUUAAAACAAGGACAAUCAAGGUGGAGUCCCACAUGUGAGCAGUGUGAUGGCACUCGGGAUGGAG